AUCCCAUCUUUUGGGAUCCUCCUGCCCAUGUUAACCCCAAUGGGGCAAUUUUGGGAUUCUCCUGGCCCUGCUGACCCCAUCUCCCAUCUUUUGGGGUUCUCCUGGCCCUGCUGACCCCAUACCCCAUCCUUUGGGCUCCUCCUGGCCAUGGUGGCCCCAAUAGGAUCUUUUUGGGCUCCUCCUGGCCCUGCUGACCCCAUAUCCCAUCCUUUGGGGUUCUCUUGGCCAUGGUGGCCCCAAUAGGAUCUUUUUGGGCUCCUCCUGGCCAUGGUGGCCCCAAUAGGAUCUUUUUGGGCUCCUGCUGACCCCUUUGCCCCCCCCUUUGCCCCCCUUUGCCCCCAGGCUGUCCAACGUGGUGGAGACGCCGCGCAUCGUGCGCAAGCUGUCGUGGGUGGAGAACCUUUGGCCGGGGGAAUCGGCGCGCGAGCGGCCGAGCCUGCAGAAGUUCUGCCUGCUGGGGGCCAGGGACAGCUUCACCGACUUCCACAUCGACAGGGGGGGGGCCUCGGCCUGGUGCCACGUCCUCAGGGUACGGGGGGGGCGGUUGUGGGGCUGCGCGGGGCGGUUAUGGGGCUGUGUGGGGUGGUUAUGGGGCUGCGC
RNAcentral lists this long non-coding RNA (600 nucleotides) under Phasianus colchicus (ring-necked pheasant). Its description in RNAcentral is "lncRNA (ENSPCLG00000016865.1)". Lineage: Eukaryota; Metazoa; Chordata; Aves; Galliformes; Phasianidae. The record is from RNAcentral.